This 515-nucleotide ribosomal RNA is filed under the name Lotharella globosa. RNAcentral describes it as "partial Bacterial large subunit ribosomal RNA". It matches the Rfam family "Bacterial large subunit ribosomal RNA", at positions 1341 to 1971 of the family's 2925-position model. The record is from RNAcentral. Lineage: Eukaryota; Cercozoa; Chlorarachniophyceae.
AAGUCCAAGGGUUCCUGCUUAAAGCUAAUCUGAGCAGGGUAAGCCGGCCCCUAAGCCGAGGCCGAAAGGCGUAGUCGAUGGGAACUAGGUUAAUAUUCCUAGGCCGUGGAGUGGUGACGGAUCUCAGAGGUAGUUCAUCCUUAUCGGAUUGAAUGGGCUGCUGAGAGGUUCCUGGAAAUAGCCCUCCUAUAAGACCGUACCCUAAACCGACACAGGUGGGAUGGUAGAGUAUACCAAGGCGCUUGAGAGAACUGUGCUGAAGGAACUCGGCAAAUUGCCUCCGUAACUUCGGGAUAAGGAGGCCCACCAUUAAGGCAACUUUUUGGUGGGGGCACAAAAGAGGGGGUGGCGACUGUUUACUAAAAACACAGGGCUCUGCGAAGUCGCAAGACGACGUAUAGGGUCUGACGCCUGCCCGGUGCCGGAAGGUUAAGAGGAGAGGUGAGAGCUUUGAAUCGAAGCCCCGGUAAACGGCGGCCGUAACAAUAACGGUCCUAAGGUAGCGAAAUUCCUUG